AUUGAACGCUGGCGGCAGGCCUAACACAUGCAAGUCGAGCGGAUGAAGGGAGCUUGCUCCUGGAUUCAGCGGCGGACGGGUGAGUAAUGCCUAGGAAUCUGCCUGGUAGUGGGGGAUAACGUCCGGAAACGGGUGCUAAUACCGCAUACGUCCUGAGGGAGAAAGUGGGGGAUCUUCGGACCUCACGCUAUCAGAUGAGCCUAGGUCGGAUUAGCUAGUUGGUGGGGUAAAGGCCUACCAAGGCGACGAUCCGUAACUGGUCUGAGAGGAUGAUCAGUCACACUGGAAAUGAGACACGGUCCAGACUCCUACGGGAGGCAGCAGUGGGGAAUAUUGGACAAUGGGCGAAAGCCUGAUCCAGCCAUGCCGCGUGUGUGAAGAAGGUCUUCGGAUUGUAAAGCACUUUAAGUUGGGAGGAAGGGCAGUAAGUUAAUACCUUGCUGUUUUGACGUUACCAACAGAAUAAGCACCGGCUAACUUCGUG
Molecule: ribosomal RNA, 484 nt
Filed under: uncultured bacterium
Lineage: Bacteria
Description: partial 16S ribosomal RNA
Rfam family: Bacterial small subunit ribosomal RNA
Source: RNAcentral